GACGAACGCUGGCGGCGUGCCUAAUACAUGCAAGUUGAGCGCUGAAGGUUGGUUCUUGUACCAACUGGAUGAGCAGCGAACGGGUGAGUAACGCGUGGGGAAUCUGCCUUUGAGCGGGGGACAACAUUUGGAAACGAAUGCUAAUACCGCAUAAAAACUUUAAACACAAGUUUUAAGUUUGAAAGAUGCAAUUGCAUCACUCAAAGAUGAUCCCGCGUUGUAUUAGCUAGUUGGUGAGGUAAAGGCUCACCAAGGCGAUGAUACAUAGCCGACCUGAGAGGGUGAUCGUCCACGUGGGGACUGGGACAGGGCCCAAACUCCUACGGCAGGCAGCAGUAGGAAAUCUGAGGCAAUGAAGAAAAGCCUGACCAGGCAGCGCCGCGGGAGGGAGGAGGGUUUUGGGAUCGUAAAUCUCUGUUGGUAGAGAAAAAGGGUGGGGAGAGUGGAAGGCACGUCAGGUACGGUAAACGACCAAGAAGGGACGGCUAAACAAGUU
Molecule: ribosomal RNA, 496 nt
Filed under: uncultured bacterium
Lineage: Bacteria
Description: partial 16S ribosomal RNA
Rfam family: Bacterial small subunit ribosomal RNA
Source: RNAcentral